UACGGAGGGUGCGAGCGUUGUCCGGAAUCACUGGGCGUAAAGGGCGCGUAGGCGGCAUGCCAAGCGUGUGGUGAAAGCCCGGGGCUCAACCCCGGGUCGGCCGUGCGGACUGGCGUGCUCGAGCACUGUAGGGGCGGGUGGAAUUCCCGGUGUAGCGGUGAAAUGUGUAGAGAUCGGGAGGAACACCGGUGGCGAAGGCGGGUCUCUGGGCAAUUCCUGACGCUGAGGCGCGAAAGCGUGGGGAGCAAACGGG
This 253-nucleotide ribosomal RNA is filed under the name uncultured bacterium. RNAcentral's name for it is "partial 16S ribosomal RNA". It matches the Rfam family "Bacterial small subunit ribosomal RNA", at positions 524 to 776 of the family's 1533-position model. The record is from RNAcentral.